UUUAUAUCUAACAUCCUGGAAGCAAAUUUAUUACUUCGCUUGCCAGAAGUAGCUCCCCCUUUCCUCUUCCUCUUCUUCCUCUCAGGUUUGACAAGAGGUGAAGCACCAGGUUCAGCACUAGUUCCAUUUAAAUCAGGUAUGCCUGCAGCAGGCAUAAUUUCUGGUUGCCCAGAUAGUGAUUUUGCUUUCCUUCUCCUCCUUUUCUUCUCAGGUUUACCUUCAGCUAAGAGCGGGGCAGCUCCUGGGGGAUCUUUGACCAACAAUACUGGUACAACAGAAUUUCCAUUAUUAUGUUUAGGAAUAGAAUUAAUUGCGUAGGGACCUUUCACCCGCAAAUCUGCCACCAAUGAGCCAGGUUGUGCACUGCCUCCAUUCAGAUCUUUUAAGCUGGUAGUAACUUUAGUCUCCGAGCUCCCUGAAGUAGCACCUCCUUUCCUCCUUCUCUUCUUUGUCUCAGAGCCAACAUGACCAACAGCCUGGGAAUUUUCUGCCAUUACCAGCG
Molecule: long non-coding RNA, 502 nt
Filed under: Citrus sinensis (sweet orange)
Lineage: Eukaryota; Viridiplantae; Streptophyta; Magnoliopsida; Sapindales; Rutaceae
Description: long non-coding RNA (CSIN_LNC001905)
Source: RNAcentral